Long non-coding RNA from Canis lupus familiaris (dog), 1750 nucleotides. RefSeq lists it as uncharacterized. The record is from RefSeq and is a predicted model, not a curated record. Lineage: Eukaryota; Metazoa; Chordata; Mammalia; Carnivora; Canidae. The transcript is spliced from 3 exons.
AUAAAAAUCCUUGGAAAGGUUAUGCUAACUCUGCAAAAAACAAAUUGAAAAUGGCAAGAUUUCAGGCCCCAUAGUUCCUGGGUAGCACAGAUGUCUUUGGCCAAGGGUGGUGGGCUCUUUCUGCUUCUUCCCAUGUCAGCCUCCCCAGGCAGCUGAGACUCACAGGAAGCCUGACUCGACGUGUGAGGCUGUUAAUGAGACAAAUGCAAAGUGGUUUUGACCACUCAUCCAAGUCACCGUGGAAUCUAAUUAACAAGCGUGGUCUUGACCAGCACAUGAGCAUAAGAGUUCACAUGCAUGCUAACAUCGCCAGCGAGACCUUUUGGAGGAAAAGAGAGUCUCACCGAGUGACAGAAGUGGUCAUUUCACAGAGAGAAGCCGCCGGGUUGUUCUAAGGGAGCACAGGCAGGGACAUCUGUGCGGCCCGAGAGACCCAGACUUGACGCUUUCAAGUGAGCAACAAAGGACUCUCCAGCUUUCAAAAUGCAUUUCUUCUGUCUGGAGCUCUCUCCUAACUCAGGCCCAAGGUCAGAGGAAGGACGAAAUUACACAUGGAGUCACAAAAGAAUCUAUUAUGAGUGCUGCUACUUUUCUCCUUGGAGGUUAACUCCAGUUGGGAACCCUCUUCAUGGGAGAGCUUGGCAAAAACACAAAAUAGAAUCAACGGCAAUAGCCUCUGGAUUGCGCUUUCCCUGGGAAGGGGCUCUUGACAAACCCGUCCUGGGACACUCCACUGAGCAAGGCAUUUUUGCUCUUCUCCCCUCGUUCAUGAACGGGUUACGCUUCCCUGAGCUAUGACAAGCAGGCAUGUCACCUGCCCCUUGACCUAGAUCCUCAAGGUCCUUCUAGUGCCUCGACCAACAACGAUGAGCGUGGAGAACAUAAAGCUCCUGCCUUCUGGUGCCCCCCCUUCACCGUGCGGUCUUGAACAGCCACGGACUAACCUCGCCAGGCCUCUGCCCUGCCGGAUGUUUAUUUCCUCUUGAUUGGCCAACUACCUGCUGCUUCUAGGGGCCCGAUUUUCAUUAUUGUUCAAUAUUUAUUUGAGUGUCAACCCAAAGCAAAGUAUAGAACAUACGUUUAGAUAAUGGUUCUCCCCCUAAGGACGUGCAGGGUGAGGGGAAAGCAAAACGGUGAUUAAAGGAAUGCAGUGAUUGGAGGAUCAGGCAAGUGCCUGGUCCAUUCUAGUUCCCUUUCCCUAGAGGAACCUGCCAGACGCCUUCUUUCUUCACAGAUGUCCUCCUCCAUCCCCCACCCACCAGCCCAACCCUUUUUUUGCUCCCACAUCAGAUGUGCUUACAGACUUGAGGACUGGCUCCAGCUCUUCUGAAUCCCUGAACCAUAUGUUUAGAUUCUUUGUUUUGAAAAGCACUGGGUGGUUCUACAAGAGACAGAGAUUCAUACCCAAACUCUAUGGUAACAUUUACUGAGCAUCUGCUACAUGCAAAUAUGGUUCUCCAGACAAACAGAAGAUACAGAUAUAGACACACACAUGAUUCCUAAAAAAGAAUUGGUUUCCCAUAAUUAUGGAGGCUAACAAAUCCCACGAUCUGCUGUCUGCAAGCUGGAAACCCAGGAAAGCCAAUGGUGUAAACUCCACGCUAAGUCCAAAGGUCUUGCCAGGCUCUGGCUUUCUGGCCGCCGUUGCGUCUCCGCCUUAGAUUUGUCCCCCGCCACACCCACCUUUGCUGUGUCUUCAGCACAUGGCGGAAGUGGGUUCCCGGUUCUGCAGGACCCUCGUCCGGGUGAG